UACGUAGGGGGCAAGCGUUAUCCGGAAUCAUUGGGCGUAAAGCGCGUGUAGGCGGUUCACCAAGUCCGCUCUGAAAGCCCAGGGCUCAACCCUGGGAGGCGGGUGGAUACUGGUGGACUAGAGUCUGGAAGAGGAGAUUGGAAUUCCUGGUGUAGCGGUGAAAUGCGCAGAUAUCAGGAGGAACACCAACAGCGAAGGCAGAUCUCUGGGACAUGACUGACGCUGAGACGCGAAAGCGUGGGGAGCAAACAGG
RNAcentral lists this ribosomal RNA (253 nucleotides) under bacterium. RNAcentral's name for it is "partial 16S ribosomal RNA". It matches the Rfam family "Bacterial small subunit ribosomal RNA", at positions 524 to 776 of the family's 1533-position model. The record is from RNAcentral. RNAcentral also lists the same sequence under 1 other name.